AUUUAGGCUUCACUAGAAGCCACCAACUCUUCCCAUUUCGCAGCAU
Molecule: non-coding RNA, 46 nt
Organism: Neospora caninum
Lineage: Eukaryota; Apicomplexa; Conoidasida; Eucoccidiorida; Sarcocystidae
Source: Rfam